GUUUUUUCCGAACGGCGGUCUUACCGGUCUGCAAAACCGUUUACAGCGGUUCGAAUCCGCUAGGAACCUC
Molecule: transfer RNA, 70 nt
Filed under: Bacteroidia bacterium
Lineage: Bacteria; Pseudomonadati; Bacteroidota; Bacteroidia
Description: tRNA-Cys
Source: RNAcentral